UUACGUGUAGAGAUGGAUUAAAUCAACAUUUCCCUCAUACAUUUCAGAAUAAGGCUGUAACGUAACAAAAUGUGGAAAAAGUCAAGGGGUCUGAAUACUUUCCGAAGGCACGGUAUGAUGUCGGAAGACACACACCACCACAAAAGGAAACUAGGGAGAUUCACCAAGGGUUACAAUUUCUUCUUUUUACAUUUUUAGAUUCAUACAGCGCCUCGUCAUCCACCUAAAGAAACCACUGGGUUUUAUUCCACUAAAAAGCCGAUUCACACAGAAGUUCAUGUUGGAAACAGUGACGCAUUUGAGGAGUCUCGGUUAACGUAAUGUCUUCAGAACUCCGUUUUACAAAGGAAUCCAUGAGGAGCCUUCCUGUAAUAUCUGAACUGAUUGGCUAGCCUAUGCCGUGAUCAAUACCGUAUAUUAUAAACUGGGUGGUUCGAGCCCUGAAUGCUGAUUGGCUGAAAGCAAUGGUAUUUGAGACAGUAUACCACGGGUAUGACAAAACACUACAUUAGUAACCAGUUUAUAACAGCAAUAAGGCACCUCAAGGGUUUGUUGUAUAUAGCCAAUAUACCACGGCUAAGGGCUGUAUCCAGGCACUCCGCGUUGUGUCGUGCUUUAGGACAGCCCUUAGCCGUGGUAAAUUGGCCAUAUCCCACACCCCUCAGACCUUAUAACUUAAACAGAGCUGCUCCCCUCCUCACAGAAGUCCUCCACCUGCCAAUCCAAGGACAUUACUGUGCUUCCACUGUGGAUGUGGUACCUUUAUCUGCGUUACCAUUUCUCCUGACGGUGCGCUGCGUGGGAGAGGUGGGUUUCAGCCGCAACGCUCAGAAAAGGGCUGCCAAACUAUCGCCAAAAAAGUCUGAGGAGGCACACUCUACGGCACCAGGCGGCUCCGCUCUACGGCACCAGGCGGCUCCGCCUCCGCUCUACGGCACCAGACGGCUCCGCCUCCUCUCUACGGCACCAGACGGCUCCGCCUCCUCUCUACGGUAGCAGGCGGGUGAACUAGGGCUAAGUCUAAUGCAGCUAGUGAUGGGUUCGGUGUCUGCAGCCAUGUCUGGACAUAUAGACGAACCCUGAUCUGUGAAACACGGAAAGCUACGUAAUAACACUUUAAAUCUAAAAGUGAAAAACAACCCUACCUGCGGAGUCCUCUGUAGCUCAGAGACAGAGAGGUGUUACAGUAAAUGUGCUCCCCUACCUGCGGAGUCCUCUGUAGCUCAGAGACAGAGAGGUGUUACAGUAAAUGUGCUCCCCUACCUGCGGAGUCCUCUGUAGCUCAGAGACAGAGAGGUGUUACAGUAAAUGUGCUCCCCUACCUGCGGAGUCCUCUGUAGCUCAGAGACAGAGAGGUGUUACAGUAAAUGUGCUCCCCUACCUGCGGAGUCCUCUGUAGCUCAGAGACAGAGAGGUGUUACAGUAAAAUGUGCUCCCCUACCUGUGGAGUCCUCUGUAGCUCAUACAGACUGAGUUCCCAUG
Oncorhynchus keta (chum salmon) is the source of this 1482-nucleotide long non-coding RNA. RefSeq lists it as uncharacterized. The record is from RefSeq and is a predicted model, not a curated record. NCBI's taxonomy places the organism in Eukaryota, Metazoa, Chordata, Actinopteri, Salmoniformes, Salmonidae. The transcript is spliced from 3 exons.